GGUUGUGUAGUGUAGUGGUUAUCACUCCGGAUUUUGAUUAGUAUCAGAUUUUCCGGCAACCCCGGUUCGAACCCGGGCACGACCU
Molecule: non-coding RNA, 85 nt
Organism: Sporormia fimetaria CBS 119925
Lineage: Eukaryota; Fungi; Ascomycota; Dothideomycetes; Pleosporales; Sporormiaceae
Source: the annotation of a GenBank genome assembly